AUUGAACGCUGGCGGCAUGCCUUACACACGCAAGUCGAACGGCAGCACGGGAGCUUGCUCCUGGUGGCGAGUGGCGAACGGGUGAGUAAUACAUCGGAACGUACCCAGGAGUGGGGGAUAACGUAGCGAAAGUUACGCUAAUACCGCAUAUUCUGUGAGCAGGAAAGCGGGGGAUCGCAAGACCUCGCGCUCUUGGAGCGGCCGAUGUCGGAUUAGCUAGUUGGUGAGGGAAAAGCUCACCAAGGCGACGAUCCGUAGCAGGUCUGAGAGGAUGAUCUGCAACACUGGGACUGAGACACGGCCCAGACUCCUACGGGAGGCAGCAGUGGGGAAUUUUGGACAAUGGGGGCAACCCUGAUCCAGCCAUGCCGCGUGAGUGAAGAAGGCCUUCGGGUUGUAAAGCUCUUUCGGCGGGGAAGAAAUGGCAACGGCUAAUAUCCGUUGUUGAUGACGGUACCCGCAUAAGAAGCACCGGCUAACUACGUGCCAGCCGCCGCCGUAA
RNAcentral lists this ribosomal RNA (502 nucleotides) under uncultured bacterium. RNAcentral's name for it is "partial 16S ribosomal RNA". It matches the Rfam family "Bacterial small subunit ribosomal RNA", at positions 30 to 523 of the family's 1533-position model. The record is from RNAcentral.